CCUGCUCUCAGCCUCCCCCUGAGAGGGCGGGAGCGAGAGCAUCUGCAGGGUGAGCACCAGCCGCAAGGUCGCAGCACCUGCCCAGCUCCCCUGCCGCGGCUCCCCUGCCGCCCAGAGCCCGCGGCCGCCAUGAGGCUCCUGCUCCUCCUCUUCCUCCUCCUCGCAUGGCUGAGCCCGCCGGCACCAGGGUAUGCAAAGAGGAUGCAAAACCGUGAAUGUGCAAACAUGGGCGGUGCUUGCAAGCACCAAAAAACCCAUGGAUGCUCCAUCCUGCCUGCGGAGUGCAAGGGUCGGAGGAAGCACUGCUGCAGACUCUGAUUCUGCUCAAUAAAACCACCGCAUGCUCGCGGCAGCCUCUGGACUUCUGAGGGGGGCGGAUGUCGGCUUCUCAGACCUGCAGGGGAAUUGAGGUGCUGGCUUCGGCCACAUCCUAAGGCAC
This is a long non-coding RNA of Talpa occidentalis (Iberian mole), 439 nucleotides long. RefSeq lists it as uncharacterized. NCBI's taxonomy places the organism in Eukaryota, Metazoa, Chordata, Mammalia, Eulipotyphla, Talpidae. The transcript has 3 exons. The record is from RefSeq and is a predicted model, not a curated record.